RNAcentral lists this ribosomal RNA (448 nucleotides) under uncultured bacterium. RNAcentral describes it as "bacterial SSU rRNA". It matches the Rfam family "Bacterial small subunit ribosomal RNA", at positions 329 to 797 of the family's 1533-position model. The record is from RNAcentral.
CGCCAGACUCCUACGGGAGGCAGCAGUGGGGGAUAUUGCACAAUGGGGGAAACCCUGAUGCAGCGACGCCGCGUGAGUGAAGAAGUAAUUCGUUACGUAAAGCUCUAUCAGCAGGGAAGAAAAUGACGGUACCUGACUAAGAAGCCCCGGCUAACUACGUGCCAGCAGCCGCGGUAAUACGUAGGGGGCAAGCGUUAUCCGGAAUUACUGGGUGUAAAGGGAGCGCAGACGGCCAUGCAAGCCAGGGGUGAAAGCCCGGGGCCCAACCCCGGGACUGCCCUUGGAACUGCAUGGCUGGAGUGCGGGAGGGGCAGGCGGAAUUCCUGGUGUAGCGGUGAAAUGCGUAGAUAUCAGGAGGAACACCGGCGGCGAAGGCGGCCUGCUGGACUGCGACUGACGUUGAGGCUCGAAAGCGUGGGGAGCAAACAGGAUUAGAUACCCCAGUACA